ACGGCCGUACCAUGCUGAAUAUACCGGUUCUCGUUAGAUCACCGAAGUCAAGCAGCAUUGGGCGCGGUCAGUACUUGGGAGGGUGACCACCUGGGAACACCGCGUGCCGUU
This 111-nucleotide ribosomal RNA is filed under the name Caerostris darwini. Lineage: Eukaryota; Metazoa; Arthropoda; Arachnida; Araneae; Araneidae. The record is from RNAcentral.